CCCUCCCGGUGCCCCGGCCGCCCCCCGCGGGCCUGCGCUGACCUUGCCGCUCACCGCCCGCCAUGCCCGGCUGUCCCGCCGCCCUCGGUUCCCCGCCCACCGUACCCCGGCGCCAGGCCUCAGGCAGGAAAGGCCAGGCUGCCACCAUCACACGUGUGGUAAUUAACGGGGUGCAGCGGGGAGACGGGAGCGACGGGCCGGCCCUGCAGCCCGACUCACCGGCAGCACCCAGGGAACAACACCGCUAACGCCUGAGGAAAGAGAGGUGCGCCCGAGCCCCUACGUGCGCUGUCACCCCCGCGUCACAACCCCAGCAGCGCCCAUGCUGUGGUUUCACAGCUUGGAAACCUGCCUGAUCAUCCUUAACAUGAAAGUAACAACAUUUAACAUCUCAGAUCUCCAAAAUUAGCAGCUUAGAUCAAAAUACUUAGCGCAUAUUUAGUCAUAUUCAGAUAUUAUCUUGAAAUCCGCUCCAGUUGCCACACCGGUUCUGUAUACAAGAACUUUAAAAAGUUUUUCAGGUUCUUAAUGCCACAAAAUGUCUUUGGUUUGGUGGGGUCUGUGGGGUCAAAGCAAGCUCUUCCAUCGGCAUGGCAGCAGCAUAACAACUCCUCUCAUAAGCCAGUACGUGUUCUCUCUAAAAAACUAGCCCUGUUGGGAUAUUGUACAAUCUGCACACAUUGAAUUUCAUCCAAAUAAUGGUGCGGUUCCACACUGCUAGGUGAACCACAGCCUUCCACAGUUGUAUCAGCACUUCUUCAAACACCAGUCGUAUCACCAAUGCAAGUCCACUGGUAUCAGAAACUUUUUUUUCUCCAUUGAAAACUAACACGAAAAGUUCAGUUUUCCACGAACAAGCUCAUGCAAGGGUGCUACACCUGCUGUGUUCUGCCCCAUCACACCUGAAGCAAAGGACAUCCGGGACACCUGAUGCUUUUCAUUCAAGAUAAAUCUUGCAGCGAAUGGGACACAACUGGACCACCGAGUCUCUGCAAAAUGAACUCUGCACAUGUACGACAUUCUGUCUGCUUGCUGUGCUCUGGCAGGUUCCCAGGUUGAGAUAGGAUUUCUAUUAAAACACUUCUAAAAAUGAUGCGUGAUUUUAUAUAGAUUAUUUUAAGGCAGUAAAUCACCAAAACGAAAUAGCAUUCAUCUGUAGUACUCCUGGCUACCCUUGUUAAAAAUUUAGCCCUUUAAGAUGGGAAAAUAGCUCCUGAAGUGAUUAUUUAAAAAAACAAACCAAACCAUACCACACACACAAGAAAAACCAAAACCACCCCCCACAACCAAUAACAAAACCGAGGGUGAUUCUAGUAGUUAUGCACCUGUAAUUUUAUCAUUCCUUGUACUACAAAUUAAGUUAUUCCAUUGAAGGUUAGAGUAAUGCAACCAUGUAGUACAGUGUGAUGGAAUCACACAACAUCCCAUACAUGAGCAAAAGUACACUUUCAAUCCUGCCUAAGUUCUGUGGUGUCAGGCAGCUAAAAGUGACUUCAUCAAGGACAUUUAUUGAAUUUUCAGAAAGCUGUCAGUCAGGGCACUGCCCUGACCAUAAGGUUUGGGCAGAACUACAACAUCCAAUUACAGACAACUGAGAAAUCCCAUAUGAACACAAUUUUUCAGGCACGCAUUCCAGAGGGACCCAUCCUUCAUGCCCUUCUCUGCGUUGGCUCCACUUCUAUGGAUUUUCUGAGAUGAGAGGAUCUUUGCACAGUAUCCAACACAGGGGUAAACAAUGACUUUGUACACACAGUGCUAUGCCAGUGUUUUCUAUUCCUUUACUGAUAAUCUAAAGCUGAUUUAUUUUAUUUUCAAUAGUAGCUACGUCAGUAUGCGUUUUCUAGUUACCUUGUCAUAUCCUUGGAGCUUCAAGUCCAUUUUUGGGAAAUGGUAAUUUCACUUGAUCUAAUCAUCAGUCUGGUUAUCCUCUAGUGACCAUAAGAAAAACAUCUCUCACUCUUUUUAAUGUUGUUUUAAUUGCAGUAGCCACUAGAAUCCUAAAUCAAAAUUAGCACUUGGGUGUUUUGUACAUUCCUAUAACAACAGACAGUUCUGGCCCUGAAGGAUUUGUUAUUUAAUAAACAAGACAAAAGAUGAGCAAAAGAGAACACCAUCCUGUGUCACACUUGGGAAACGCCAGCAGAACAUCUUUGAACUGUUUUGCUAAGAGUCCACAGGCAUCCUCAGUAGUUUUCCUGAUUUGCAGGCCUUGGUGAGAAGCAAAACAACUCACUCUCUUUCACAGUGGUGACUUUUUAUUUGGGAAUAUGGACUGAAUUAUCAUCUCUAGACUUAAAGCAAUAAAGCUACUAAAUCACUGGUUAUGGUCUACUCCUGCACAGUCAGAUGUAUUGGAACUCACGCAGACAGCAUGUUUGGGAAUUUGAGUUACAGAGGUCACUAUCCAAGGACAAAAAAAAUGCUACAAAAACUCUGUCAAAGCCCACCCUAGAUCACUAGUGAAGGAGGCUUAGACCUAGCUCAGCAAAUUGAAGUGAUUUUAGAGGAACUUUGAACACCUCUGUCUGAAGGUAAGUUUAUCAUUGAAAUUCUGCAACAUCUGGUUAGGAAAUAAGUACAUUUGGCUGGAAAACGAGCACACAUCGCAGCCCUGCACUACACCAGACAGGCAACAGAAUGGGGCGGCACAGACAAAAGUCAAGAUGGAUGCUUCAGCAGAGCCGUCAGGGAGGCUGGUACCCGCCCUAUGGAUUUCAUCUUUCUCUCAGUCUCAAAGACAGUAUUGAAGUUACAUAUGGAUAAACAAGGAGGACUCUUUCGAUAGAAGUUUCUCAAUAGGUAUUUUUAGAAACACACCUAUUAAAGAACUUUUCUAAGGCCCUAGCAGAGAAAUCCCUGCAUAGGAAAAAGAACCUUAAGUGAUACAAUAACAGAAUUUCAUAUUGAUAUAUUGCUUACAACUUAGAAGUCUUCAUAAACAAGACUGUGAGGCAACUGAGUAAAUAUUACCACCAUUGUGCAACGAUGGAGAGGAAACAACAACAGUGGUUAAGUGACUCUUCUAAAGAAACAGAAGGAAUAAAUGCUUGAAAUUUGACCUAAAUUUGGGGAUUUUGAUUCUAAGGGGCUUGAAAUGGUGUUACCUCCUGGCAGACGGAGAAUGCACCGGUAUAAAGGUGAUACAUGUUCCUGACUUCAACUGUCCGACUGCACGCCUACCUGUUUGUGACAUGGGUAUGUAGGUUAAUUGUAGUAUUCCAGCUUGGAUUGCUGCUUGUCGAUUGCUCUUGGCAGCUUUGGCAAGAUCACAUUUUGCAAGCUACCAAAUGCAUGAAUGCAACUACACACAACUGAUCUUUGUGGCACACUUUGAUGUGUUCUUCCCGGGCGUGUGUGUGUAGCCCACGCAAUGAAAAACUCAAAUACAGACUGCAGCAAUCUACUAUUGAGCGGAUUUCACAUGAACAUCACUUGAUACUGUAAUACAGGGAAUUUCCAUGGUAUUGAUUUUAACAUUGAUUUUAAGAACCCUUGCACACCUGAGACCUGGUUAUCUCAAGGACUUUGCUAAUCUGGACUGUUAGGAGAGGGAGAGAUCAUAUUUGGGCUUAGCUUGAUUUUAAGUGGGGAGAGCAGGAAUUUGCAGUGGGCACUCCCACCCUCCACUGCAGACCCUGUGUUGUGCUGCACUUGAAUACACUCAGCGUAAUUUUUCCAUCAAGGUUUUGGCUAAGCUAGAAGGUGAGUUGAGAGCUGGGAAGGAUUUCUGUAAUCUGUAUCUGUGAAAGCAGCACUGCAGAGCAGGACUUGGCAGUUCUGGUUGACAACAGGUUGACCAUGAGUUGACAAUGUGCCCUUGUGGCCAAGAAAUCCAGCAGUAUCCUGGGGUGCAGUAAGAAGAGUGUGACCAGCAGCUCUAGUGAGGUUAUCCUCCUCCUCUACUCUGCCCUGGUGAGGCACCACCUGGAGCACUGCGUCCAGUUCUGGGCUCCCCAGUUUAAGAAGGACAAGGAAUUACUGGAGGGAGUCCAGCAGUGGGCCACGAAGAUGACGAGGGGUCUGGAGCACCUUUCUUAUGAAGAGAGACUGAGAGAGCUGCGUCUGUUCAGCCUGUAGAAGAGAAGGCUAGGAGGGGAUCUCAUCAAUGUUUAUAAAUAUCUCAACAGUGGGUGUCAGGAGGAUGGGACCAGACUCCUUUCAGUGGUGCCCAAUGACAGGAUGAGGGGCAAUGGGCACGGGGCUGAAGCACAGGAGGUUCCAUCUGAAUAUGAGGAGAAACUUCUUUGAGAAUACCAGAGCACUGGAACAGGCUGCCCAGAGAGGUUCUGGAGUCUCCGUCUCCGGAGAUACUCAAAACCUGCCUGGACACAUUCCUGUGCAAUCUGCUCUACAUGAACCUGCUUUAGCAGGUGGGUUGGACUGGAUGAUCUCCAGAGGUCCGUUCCAACCCCAACCAUUCUGUGAUACGCAUUUAUUUAUGAAUGGGGACUAGAGUGGGGGAGUGUGAUUGCAGUGCGAAAUUAAAUCAUACAAGAGCUUCAAGGGCACAGGGUAGCCACACAGGUACAUUUACAGAUAAAAAGAAAAAAACGCUAAUAAAUAUUUCCUCCAAUCAAGGUUUCCUCUUAGGAACUUGUAGUAACCCAGCUCAAAACACGAAACUUCUUUCCAGCACACGCUGUACAUAAAGGAGGAGUUUCCCCACAUGACUUCAUACUAAUUACCUACAAAUAGUCAUACAAGAAGAACCUCAAUCCACUCAUGCUCUUUACAGCUGUGAUUAGCAUUUUCGUUUCAGAAUUUCUGAGUGACACGGCUUGCUCGGAAUUCAUUACUCAAUCUCCCUGAAUAAUGUAUGGAAACUCACUGCUAGUAUGUCAGAUUACACAGGGCCUUUACGUUGUGCCCAGGGCACCAAGCAGCUGCCUAUGACUUCCCAGAAGAUCAUCCAUACACCACUACAGCUGGUCCAUGAACAUUUACAGAUAGGUCACGACAUAUAGGCAUAUAGGACACUUAAAAGGUAUGAUUUUAGGCUAGAAGAAAAAUGAGGGGAUUGGCAGUUUCAGGAUGCCUAGAUAGGCGAUUUGUCUGUAGGUGAGCAGGGAGACACGGUAUAAAAUAUGGAAAUAUGGGAGCUCUUCUGUGUUCUAAACCAUAGAAAUUUCUAUUAUAACAGAAUGUGAAAUUUAUAGGCAUCGGUUCAGUUUAUUUACCUGUGAAGUAUCCUCUCUGGUCUGAAGAACGAGUAAUACAGUAGUAGUAUGAGAAAUACUAUAGAAUUGAUUAGUCAUGCUACUUCAUCUUGUACAAGCAAUAUGAGUCUGGUGCUUGGGAUGCUCUUACUGAAAACAGAAUUGCCCAGGACUUACUCAUCACAGGAGACCCUGAGCAGCAGGGUCCUGGGGAGCAGCGGGCAGCCCAGCAUCGUCCCCGCGCCGCCCCGAGGGGCUGUCCCAGCGCCCGCUCGCACGGACACCGACCCCAGAGCUCUCCCCACCGCCAGCGCCCACAGCGCCUCGUCUGUGCUCUCGCUGUGCGACUCCAGCCACCAGCUCUCGAUUCUGUGAUAUAACAAAUAUGUAACUGAUGAAAGCAAAACCAGAGUGCCAACGCCUCCUACAAUCACUGUCAGGAACACUAGAAAAUGCAGCCAGGUGGAAGAAAGGGGAAGAACAUCACACCUUUGGCAGUUUAAGACUGACAGUGGUAAUACAACAUUCUAGGUUGAAGUGCAUUUUGGAAGUUAAUUUACUUGCAACUCAGGUGGGAAAUGGCUGCAGUGUUCAGAGGCACAGGGCCGUGGGGGACCCCAGUCCCACACAGCACUCCAGAUUGCCAGCUGUAUGUUUUUCAUUCUCUUUCCCAGCUAUAGUACUUGACUUUUUUGAAUUAUUUUCUCCUGGUUCUUUGGUUUCAUUUGAUUGCUUUUCUGAUCUUUUCCCCUCACCAAUAUUUAGCAGCUUUCUACACAAUUUCCUUACAUCGUUUUAUCUUCAUGACUGUUAUUCUCUUUCUCAAGAGCUCUGCUUUAAUCAGCUGCCUCGUAAAGCCGUGGGUUCUCCUUGAAUUUGCCCUGCGUGUAAAUCUGAACAAUGACUCUUUCAGGUAACACGUUCCUCUGUACCUUGUACUAGAUGAAUUACGCUGUCUGCACUCAGCUAAUUUUAACAAUAAUCAGAGUUGUGAGACGUAUUCUUUAGUCGUACAGCUUCGCAACAGGAGUUGAAAGCUAAACAUGGGCUGAUAGCAUCAGUGUAAACAAGAAUCACCCAGAAAUGAAAAGCUUCACAGAUGUAACAAGACUAAAAUAAUUCCACCAGUUUUUCUAAGCAAUAAUUCUGCUGGAACCAACCUCAGAAUAAAAAGUCUCUCAGA
Molecule: long non-coding RNA, 6339 nt
Organism: Columba livia (rock pigeon)
Lineage: Eukaryota; Metazoa; Chordata; Aves; Columbiformes; Columbidae
Exons: 2
Source: RefSeq, a predicted model, not a curated record